RNAcentral lists this ribosomal RNA (2109 nucleotides) under Triticum aestivum (bread wheat). RNAcentral describes it as "partial small subunit ribosomal RNA". The record is from RNAcentral. Lineage: Eukaryota; Viridiplantae; Streptophyta; Magnoliopsida; Poales; Poaceae.
UUUUUCAAGAAGCUAUAUAAGAAGGAAGAGGCGGUCGACCCCAAGGAAAUUCUGGACCUAAUAGGAAACCGAGUGAGCGGGGACAUGAACGACGUGUUGACAAAGCAGUUCACGUCGAAGUAAAUAAGUAACGCCCUUUUUCAAAUAGGGCCUCUGAAAGCCCCCGGCUCUAACGGCUUUCUGGGUAAUUUUUUCCAAAGGAACAGGGGGGAGCUGAAAGAUGAUGUAAUCAGAGCAGUCCUUGAGUUUUUUGAGAGGGGGGUUCUACCGGAUGGAAUCAAUGAUACAGUGAUCGUUCUCAUCCCCAAAGGAAGUGAGCCGCAGUCGAUCAAGGACUAUAGGCCGAUCAGUCUGUGCAACGUCAUUUAUAAGGUGGUGUCAAAAUGCCUUAUCAAUAGACUACGACCAUUAGAUUAGAUUAUUUCCGAAACGCAGAGUGCCUUUAUCCCAGGUAGAAUGAUCACAGACAACGCCAUCAUUGCGUUCGAAUGCUUCCACAAAAUCAAACACUCCAAGAAUGUCAGAGAUAAUUACUGCGCAUAUAAGCUGGACCUUGCCAAAGCCUACGAUAGAGUGGAUUGGGAUUCCUUGGAAGGAGUGCUCUGGAAGUUUGGUUUAUGCAGGAAAUGGACGGACUGGGUUAUGCAGUGUGUGCGAACCGUGAGGUACUCAGUGAGAUGCAAUGGAGGACUCUUGGACCCGUUUAUCCCAUCUAGAGGGCUGAGACAAGGGGACCCCCUAAGCCCCUACCUGUUCCUGUUUGUUGCGGAUGGCCUAGUGCACUUGCUUAAGAAGGAAAUCACUGGAAACAAUUUGACACCCAUUAAGACUGCGAGAAACAGCCCGAGCAUAUCAAACCUCCUCUUCGCGGAUGAUAGUUUGAUUUUCUUCAAGGCCACGACCGAGCAAGCCGAAACCAUCAAAAGAGUGUUGACCACUUUUCAGAAGUGUACGGGACAACUUCUAAGUGAGAGCAAAUGCUCAAUUCUCUUCAGUGAGGCUUGCCCGGGGGCAACUAGAGCGGACAUUAAAAAUAUCCUGGGGGUACAGUCAGAUACUUUUGAAAGCAAGUACCUAGGUUUGCCGACGCCGGAAGGGAGAAUGAAGGAUGACCAAUUUCAGUCGAUACUGGACAGAUUUGGGAAAAGAUGCAAUGACUGGUCGAAAUGGUUUAUGUCUUAUUCGGCUAAAGAGGUCCAUGUCAAAUCAGUGGUCCAGGGCCUUCCUACGUAUACAAUGAGUGUGUUCAUGCUAUCCAAAGGGUUUUGUGAGAAGUACGAGAGAAUGAUAAGAGAUUUCUGGUGGGGGGAAGAUGGGCAUAGAAAGGUCCACUGGAUGUCUUGGGACCGCAUGACAAAACCGAAGAGGGAUGGGGGUAUUGGGUUCAGAGAUAUGCACCUCUUUAACCUGGCACUCCUCGCAAAGGAAGGGCGGAGACUGAUCCAAAACCCUGAUAGCCUCUGUGCGAGAGUUCUUAAGUCAAAGUAUUACCCCAAUGGAAAUAUCCUAGACACCGUCUAUGUGUCAGAUGUUUCACCGGUGUGGAGGGGUAUCGAGUUUGGAUUGCAGCUACUGAAAAAGGGGAUAAUAUGGAGGGUUGGAGAUGGAAAAAUUAUACAAAUCCAACGAGAUCAGUGGUUGCCUAGAAGGGAGGGUCUCAUGACGGCUGCAUUCAUAAGGAGGUCCAGACUCCGCUGGGUGAAUCAACUUAUGAGCCCGGAGAGGAAGGAAUGGAACGAAGGCCUCAUCCGUCGGAUCUUCUACCCUUUCGAUGCCGAGAUAUGCAAACUCCUGAUCCCAAUCUCAAACGCAAGAGACCAACUUGCUUGGCAUUUUGAAAGCAACGGAGUCUUUACGGUUAAGAGCGCGUACAAGUUAGCUACAAAACUUGACCAACAGGAGCCCUCCCCUUCCAGUUCAACAAGGGACGCCGCCGAUCGGAGCAUAUGGGACCUGAUUUGGAAAGCUAAAGUGGUAGGGAAAGUGCGGAUAUUCGGGUGGCGAGUGGCUACAAAUACACUAGCCACUAAAGAAAACAAGCACAAACGCACCCUGAGACAGAUGCAACAUACAUCAUUUGCGGUCAUGGGGUGGAAAAUGAGUAUGUGA